GACGAACGCUGGCGGCGUGCUUAACACAUGCAAGUCGAACGGAAAGGCCCUGCUUUUGUGGGGUGCUCGAGUGGCGAACGGGUGAGUAACACGUGAGUAACCUGCCCUUGACUUUGGGAUAACUGCAGGAAACGGGGGCGAAUACCGGAUAGGAGCUCCUGCGGCAUGGUGGGGGUUGGAAAGUUUCGGCGGUUGGGGAUGGACUCGCGGCUUAUCAGCUUGUUGGUGGGGUAGUGGCUUACCAAGGCUUUGACGGGUAGCCGGCCUGAGAGGGUGACCGGCCACAUUGGGACUGAGAUACGGCCCAGACUCCUACGGGAGGCAGCAGUGGGGAAUAUUGCACAAUGGGCGGAACCCUGAUGCAGCAACGCCGCGUGCGGGAUGACGGCAUUCGGGUUGUAAACCGCUUUCGCCUGUGACGAAGCGUGAGUGACGGUAAUGGGUAAAGAAGCACCGGCUAACUACGUG
RNAcentral lists this ribosomal RNA (468 nucleotides) under uncultured bacterium. Its description in RNAcentral is "partial 16S ribosomal RNA". It matches the Rfam family "Bacterial small subunit ribosomal RNA", at positions 28 to 507 of the family's 1533-position model. The record is from RNAcentral.